GGGAAAAAAAAGAAAUGGCCUGAAUAAGGUUUGGAAAUAUUCUGUAGAUCGUCGACCAGUUUAUCCAAGCACGUGGUUCUAAUUAGACGAGUGUAACUUACACAUGGUGUUAAAAGUUAGAGAGGAUUCAAAACAGACAGGAUUAAUCCCGUUAAAGAACAUGGAACAAGUGGAGCGUCACUAAAGCUCAUCAUCAGAUCUGCGGUACCUGAAGCCUGCACUGUGUUCAUUACUCAACCACAUCUGUCACAUCGCUAAGGAACUACGAUACUCUAAUGCUUUCCAAUCAGGACACGGGUUCCUGCGCGGCAACACAAUUCAUCUCACUGCCUGCGGCGCUCGCUUCCACGGACACGACGCGCUGGUGAUGAAGAAACGAUUGAUUCGCUCCCGUGAAGUCGGCGGACUGUGGCUGAAGAUGGAUGGAAGCGGUGCGUCAUAAUUACUGGACAAACCUCCGCAGAGUCUCCGUUGUGUCAGCCUCCUAUGUGAAUCAAUAAUAAGCAGAUUUCUAGUUGUGCUCACGACUUUCAAACUCAUGUAUUUGUCACUGAGUUCCUUCUCAAACCAUCAAUAGCAUGAAUCGUGUGGACGUCAUAGAUUCAGUCGGGGCAUCUUUUAAGACGUCCGCGGUAUUGAUGCAGGUUUCAGAAUCUUCCCCGGUCGCAUGUGACCGCUGUGCAGCCAGAACCACGGCGCGAGGACACAGCCUGGUGUCUGGUGAGACAUAAAGAACGGAGGCGACGACGGAUGAAGACACAUCAAAACCGCAGCGUGACGGCGCAGCUCUGCCCUGCAGUCAGUAAUUGAUGCGUCGCUUCUUCUUCUUCUUCUUCUUCUUCUUCUUCUUCUUCUUCUUCUUCUCUUCUUUUUUUUACUGUACCAGUGGAACUAUGAGUCCAAUGAGUGCGGGCCUCAUUAGAGAUCGACGGACUGAGAUCGUACAACACAAACUAACAAAAACACAGAAAGGACUAAAAUCCGCUGGUACUCAAUCUAAUGCUAAUCGUUUUGGUUUCAUUUAAAUGAGAACAAUGAUUUUACCCAACUUAAGGCGUUCAAGUGGCGGAUGAUUUAUUUAAGGUGCUAUACUGCCAUCUAGCGUUCGACACAUGCUAUUUCCGCUUGAACCCAUUGACCUGCCUCUAAGCACUAAAUAAGACUUAUACCCACAUGUCAGGUGGGUCUUGCUUCAGUCGGCUGUGACUCUGAGCACAGUUAAAACUGACCCGUUUGCACGAUGGCUCGAUUCUACCCACACAAUACACACCGGCGCUGGUCUCUCGUCUCGUUCGUCUAAUGGAGGGCAGACUCGUUCGUGCCGUGAGUCAUCAGAGUCUUGGCAGGCUCCGGGGAGGCCAGCGUCUGUUUGCUCGUGAGUCAGUCACUUCCCGGGCGUUGGUGAUUGUUCUGAUUUCCAAAUGGGUGCAGCCGCAGGAGGUAAAAAGGUGAUGCCUGUGGUGUUUGUGGGUCACAGGUGUGGCCAGAGGUUCCGCUUCUGACAGACUGAACCUGUAGCAAGUGCAUUAAAGGUUCAUGCCUCCUUUAAAAUCACUGCAUGUCUGCAUAUUUAGCAGCAUUGCCCUAAAGUCUUAAAGUUAUUAUUCUUUAACCUUAUAUUUCAUAUAGAAUGAACUAGAUGUUCAGUUUAGUGCAAUAUGUUUUUAUUUUAUUUCUCCAUUUUCUAGGUUCUUACUCAUUUAUUCCUCUAACUGAUUUCCGUCACCGUAGCACCAGUAAAAACCAGCAAACGUUAUUCAUCGAACCAAACAAAGUUAAAGUUUAUUAUAGAAUAUUACUAACGCUUCACAUUAAUUUAUCCGCGUUUUAAUUCUUCCAAUUUCUAUGAGUCACAGUGGAAAGUGUAUGUGGGCUGGUUGCGUGCGUUUCUCCCACUAUAGACUGGUUUUUAGGGAGUGACCCCGGUCGCUGUGACUAAUAACGCUGGUGGGGUGAUAGCUUACAGAUCAACCCUUAUCUUACGCAAUGCCUCUUCAAAUGACGCACGUUCCCCCCCGCUUCCAUCCAGCAGACAUUCUGGUUUCACUGGUGGAAAACGCUCCACGCGUUCUCCAGCUUUGCCGUUGCAGACCUGGUGUUUGGACAUUUAGUUGGUUCUUGUUUGUGAUCCCAGUAUAACUAUGGCCUUUUUGCAUUUUUUGCUUUUGAGGUCAAACUGAAAUCUGUCAGUCUGACAAUCUGUAAGAGAUUGAGAUUUUCAAUUGAUUUCAUUUUGCUUCACGUGCACAUAGGCCCCGCCACUAGGUGGCGCCACACCACACUGAAAGGUGUGACAGGCCUGUUACAUACCUGAGUGACGGGCUUAAACAGACGUGCUUUGGCUCAUGUUUAUGAUUGUCUGUCAUCCCAAAAUUCCUGGUGGUUUGGUCUGAGUCUUGUGUAGCUGGCAAGACACAAAAUAUGAUUUUUGGCAAAGAAGAUCUAUCGCCAUUUCAAGAGAAACCAUGUGAUGUGACAAUAAGUCAAGGAGGAGCUGGAUAUAAAGACCUGGCUCAUGGUGCUGAGGAUCCUAUAUCAUAGGAAAAAUACACCGGCUGAAUGAAAUCAAGACCAAACACAAUCAUCUAACAGAUGGGCUUGUUUUCUGAAAAAUACAUUUGGGAAAUUAAAUUUAAUGAUUAUCUUAAAUGUGCUUGUUUGCCACAGUGGGGAUUACCCAGAUUCUCCAAAUGAUAGCUGUUAUGUAAAACUACAUUUAGUAAGAGAUCCUUAGAACCGUGCCCACAGUGACGGGGACUGAAAAAAAGGGAAAAAAACAUCUGUGUAAAAAUGAGAAGCGAUUGGAAUUUAUGAUAAAGCGCUGCAGCAUGACUGUAUUUAACUCUUCCCCCGUUCCACAGAGCAUCUGAUACUGGCUUUGUGUCGGGUUUAUGGAGGAGCCUCGUAGCAAAUUAGUCCCUCAUUGAAAUCAAACCGCAAAGUUAGCAGAAACGGCGCAAAAGCUGUGAGUGACUCAUCCAAAAGCCCACCUGAAAAAACAGGGGCUCCUGAAGGUCGGACUGGAGCGCUGACCCAACCACACGCCCCAGUUCAGAGUCGCACUAAGAUUAACCAGUCAGAUCACUGGCGAGCAGCUGUCAAUCAAAUCGAAUCGGUAUGUGACCCAGACUUCUUCUGUGUUUGCUUUACCAGUUUAUUAUGAAAAUAAAAU
This 3172-nucleotide long non-coding RNA is filed under the name Betta splendens (Siamese fighting fish). RNAcentral describes it as "lncRNA (ENSBSLG00000003763.1)". Lineage: Eukaryota; Metazoa; Chordata; Actinopteri; Anabantiformes; Osphronemidae. The record is from RNAcentral.